RNAcentral lists this ribosomal RNA (236 nucleotides) under uncultured bacterium. RNAcentral's name for it is "partial 16S ribosomal RNA". It matches the Rfam family "Bacterial small subunit ribosomal RNA", at positions 1266 to 1500 of the family's 1533-position model. The record is from RNAcentral.
AGCGAACCCCAAAAACGACCGUCUCAGUUCGGAUCGCAGGCUGCAACCCGCCUGCGUGAAGUCGGAAUCGCUAGUAAUCGCGGAUCAGCAUGCCGCGGUGAAUACGUUCCCGGGCCUUGUACACACCGCCCGUCACACCAUGAGAGUCGGGAACACUCGAAGUCCGUAGCCUAACCGCAAGGAGGGCGCGGCCGAAGGUGGGUUCGAUAAUUGGGGUGAAGUCGUAACAAGGUAUC